RNAcentral lists this long non-coding RNA (1104 nucleotides) under Heterocephalus glaber (naked mole-rat). RNAcentral describes it as "lncRNA (ENSHGLG00100051719.1)". Lineage: Eukaryota; Metazoa; Chordata; Mammalia; Rodentia; Bathyergidae. The record is from RNAcentral.
AACAGGAUCUGGGAGGAUAAGCAGCAGAGCUGUUGAGUCCAACCCAGUCAUCCUGGCUCUAGAAUCCUUGUUUUCCUAGUUUCCCUGGAGUCCUUAGUGUGGCCCAGGGCACACAGUCUCUCCAGCAGGGUAGCCAGACUUUCUACAUGAUACUAUAGUUUACUAUGGGAAGAAUGGCCACAAGGAUAGAAAUAAGUUUCCUGGACCCUUCUCAGGAAGAAAAUGGCUUGGAAGAAAAAUGGCUUUUAAGAAACAUAAGAAAAAAGUAAGAAAAGUAAGAAAAAAAUGUAAUGAAAAUAAGUAAUGAAAAAAAAAUCAUGGUAUGUGGAAAUAGAAAUGGACUCAAAACAUCAGAAAUUGAAUACUUGAAGACUGAUACGUUUUUUGUGGUGUUUAAAGGUGGCUCUGGUGCUCAUGCCCUUGUGUAGCUCCCUAUGCAACACUGACUCUGAGCUGGCCACAUAACUUGCUUUUCUUGUUGGUAUCUGGGAUUGAACUCGGGACCAUGUGCUUUCGAGGCAGGCGGCGGAACCACUGAGCUAAAUCCCCAGACCUACUUGCUUUUAGCCUCAAAAUGUGGUGAGAACCACAUGAGCACUGUGCCAAUUCUGGGCCUCAAAAGGGAUACAGCUUUUACUCUUGCACCAUUUUGGAACCCUAAGCAAUCCAUGCAAGGCAGCCAGCCUCUCUACGGAGCGAUCACAAGGAGUGGCCACGUGAAGAGGGAGAUACCCUGCGUCUACAUGGACAAAAGGAGAGAGAUACUUCAGUUAUGCCAGGUGAACCCAACCUGUCCCAUUUCCUGGUAAAAGUGCCACACACAGGAAGGUACCAUCUUGGCCAUUCUCAUACAGCUGAGCUCCCACCUAGGUGGCUGAAGACAGCGCUUUCCCAUGGAGCAGAGGAAAUGCCCAAAUGGUCCUAGUCAGUGAGAGUCCAGGAGAUAAGAGGGCUGCUCUUUAAGAAACCAGAAUGGCACUGUUGGUUAGAUGUUACAAGAGGAGGGACACCCAGGAUCUCCCCUGCCCAAUGGGCUUGGAAUAGCUGCCAUCUCAUUCAGUGACUGACCUAAAGUCCCGCAUGAAUAGUGGGAGCAUUACAAGG